This 1028-nucleotide ribosomal RNA is filed under the name uncultured Acidobacterium sp. RNAcentral describes it as "bacterial SSU rRNA". It matches the Rfam family "Bacterial small subunit ribosomal RNA", at positions 65 to 1124 of the family's 1533-position model. Lineage: Bacteria; Pseudomonadati; Acidobacteriota; Terriglobia; Terriglobales; Acidobacteriaceae. The record is from RNAcentral.
AACGAGAAAGCCCGCAAGGAUGAGUAAAGUGGCGUACGGGUGAGUAACACGUGGGUAAUCUACCUUCUGGUGGGGAAUAACCCUGGGAAACCGGGGCUAAUACCGCAUAAGUCCGGGAGGAGUAAGCAGCAAUGCGCCGGAAGAGGAGCCCGCGGCCGAUUAGCUAGUUGGUAGGGUAACGGCCUACCAAGGCUAUGAUCGGUAGCCGGCCUGAGAGGGCACACGGCCACACUGGCACUGAAACACGGGCCAGACUCCUACGGGAGGCAGCAGUGGGGAAUCUUGCACAAUGGGGGAAACCCCGAUGCAGCGACGCCGCGUGAGCGAUGAAGCCCUUCGGGGUGUAAAGCUCUUUCGGCAGGAACGAUAAUGACGGUACCUGCAGAAGAAGCUGCGGCUAACUACGUGCCAGCAGCCGCGGUAAUACGUAGGCAGCAAGCGUUGUUCGGAGUUACUGGGCGUAAAGAGUGUGUAGGCGGUUGUCUAAGUUUGGUGUGAAAUCUCCCGGCUCAACUGGGAGGGUGCGCCGAAAACUGGAUGGCUGGAGUAUGGGAGAGGAAAGCGGAAUUCCUGGUGUAGCGGUGAAAUGCGUAGAUAUCAGGAGGAACACCUGCGGUGUAGACGGCUUUCUGGACCAUCACUGACGCUGAGACACGAAAGCGUGGGUAGCAAACAGGAUUAGAUACCCUGGUAGUCCACGCCCUAAACGAUGCACAUUUGGUGUGGGUCAUUCAGUUGAUCUGUGCCGGAGCUAACGCGUUAAAUGUGCCGCCUGGGGAGUACGGUCGCAAGGCUGAAACUCGAAGGAAUUGACGGGGGCCCGCACAAGCGGUGGAGCAUGUGGUUCAAUUCGACGCAACGCGAAGAACCUUACCUGGGCUCGAACGGCUGCCGAUGGCUCGUGGAAACAUGGGCUUUCCCGCAAGGGACGCGCAGUCGAGGUGCUGCAUGGCUGUCGUCAGCUCGUGUCAUGAGAUGUUGGGUUAAGUCCCGCAACGAGCGCAACCCUUGUCCUGUGUUGCCAUGCC